UGGGGAAUAUUGCACAAUGGGCGCAAGCCUGAUGCAGCCAUGCCGCGUGUAUGAAGAAGGCCUUCGGGUUGUAAAGUACUUUUAGCGGGGCGGAAUGGAGUAAAGUUAAUACCUUUGCUCAUUGACGUUACCCGCAGAAGAAGCACCGGCUAACUCCGUGCCAGCAGCCGCGGUAAUACGGAGGGUGCAAGCGUUAAUCGGAAUUACUGGGCGUAAAGCGCACGCAGGCGGUUUGUUAAGUCAGAUGUGAAAUCCCCGGGCUCAACCUGGGAACUGCAUCUGAUACUGGCAAGCUUGAGUCUCGUAGAGGGGGGUAGAAUUCCAGGUGUAGCGGUGAAAUGCGUAGAGAUCUGGAGGAAUACCGGUGGCGAAGGCGGCCCCCUGGACGAAGACUGAAGCUCAGGUGCGAAAGCGUGGGGAGCAAACAGG
This 429-nucleotide ribosomal RNA is filed under the name Chloroflexota bacterium. Its description in RNAcentral is "Chloroflexi bacterium partial 16S ribosomal RNA". It matches the Rfam family "Bacterial small subunit ribosomal RNA", at positions 355 to 776 of the family's 1533-position model. Lineage: Bacteria; Bacillati; Chloroflexota. The record is from RNAcentral.